UACGGAGGUGGCAAGCGUUGUUCGGAAUUAUUGGGCGUAAAGGGCGCGUAGGCGGCUUGGCAAGUCAGAUGUGAAAGCCCCGGGCUUAACUCGGGAAUUGCAUCUGAAACUGCUUAGCUUGAGUUCUGGAGGGGGUAGUGGAAUUCCCAGUGUAGCGGUGAAAUGCGUAGAUAUUGGGAGGAACACCAGCGGCGAAGGCGGCUACCUGGACAGUAACUGACGCUGAUGCGCGAAAGCUAGGGGAGCGAACGGG
This 253-nucleotide ribosomal RNA is filed under the name uncultured bacterium. RNAcentral's name for it is "partial 16S ribosomal RNA". It matches the Rfam family "Bacterial small subunit ribosomal RNA", at positions 524 to 776 of the family's 1533-position model. The record is from RNAcentral.